Molecule: long non-coding RNA, 600 nt
Filed under: Vitis vinifera (wine grape)
Lineage: Eukaryota; Viridiplantae; Streptophyta; Magnoliopsida; Vitales; Vitaceae
Description: long non-coding RNA (VVIN_LNC001623)
Source: RNAcentral
UGCAUUUCAAACUAAAAAGAAACACAGCUUGAGAGGAAACAAUACCAAGCUACUACACUCAAUAGCCCCAUUUGCUUUCCUCAGCCAGUUUUCACAGGUCUUGGACACUCAAACCUGCAAAUACCAAAAAAGAUCAAUUAGCAAACCCAUAUGGAAACCAAUGACAUGCCAUAGUAGUCUGGACCAGGAUUCAUAGGAACUCUCUACAUUUUAUUGAUGAGCUCAUUACAGUUUGCCUAGAUUUUAGAGGUGAAAAUCAGAAAUCCAAAAUGGGAUCAUCAAAGCAAAAAAGGUUUGACAGCAAAGCGGAUGCUAUGGAUUAUUUUCUGGGGUUUUCUUUCUUCCCUUCUUCUUGCUUCCCUUUUAUUUGUUUUCUGAAUAAGCAAAUACAUAGACUGCUAAGCAGGUGGUGAACCCUAGCACUUUGUGGUGCACAAGGAACACCCAAAAUUAAGAUGAUAUAACCAACCUGGAGGAAGAGACUGCUUCAAUUUGUCAGCCUUCUCUGCAUCAAAGACGCAAAGUGUGUAGAGGUACUUGGAGCAACGGACCUUGAACUUAACCACAUCCUUGCUCCUCUUGAUCUUCACGGAGCGUGCA